CGCUGCUGGGCGACAACCACUGAAGACUCGGCUGCCAACCUACUUUACUCUCUAAUUUCUUCAGGUUGCCCAGAUGAGGACACAGUUAAUAUGAAACAUCUACCUGGAUUGAAUCGAGAAGGCUUUUCUUUUAAGGCAUUUGCCUUCGUUGGAGAUUACACUGAGGUGUACAUUCAUUGUUCAGUGAAGGUAUGUGGUGCCGCGAAGGCUCAAAAGUUUCGAGACGCAGGAUGCCC
Molecule: long non-coding RNA, 236 nt
Organism: Strongylocentrotus purpuratus (purple sea urchin)
Lineage: Eukaryota; Metazoa; Echinodermata; Echinoidea; Camarodonta; Strongylocentrotidae
Exons: 3
Source: RefSeq, a predicted model, not a curated record